UACGUAGGGUGCGAGCGUUAAUCGGAAUUACUGGGCGUAAAGCGUGCGCAGGCGGUGCUGUAAGACAGUUGUGAAAUCCCCGGGCUCAACCUGGGAACUGCAUCUGUGACUGCAUCGCUGGAGUGCGGCAGAGGGGGAUGGAAUUCCGCGUGUAGCAGUGAAAUGCGUAGAUAUGCGGAGGAACACCGAUGGCGAAGGCAAUCCCCUGGGCCUGCACUGACGCUCAUGCACGAAAGCGUGGGGAGCAAACAGG
RNAcentral lists this ribosomal RNA (253 nucleotides) under uncultured bacterium. Its description in RNAcentral is "partial 16S ribosomal RNA". It matches the Rfam family "Bacterial small subunit ribosomal RNA", at positions 524 to 776 of the family's 1533-position model. The record is from RNAcentral.